CACAUAUUAAUGUUAUAUACUAAAAUAGUUUAUUUGACCUACAGGUUCAUUUUUUUCUCUCCUGAUGUGAAAAAGGAACUUGUGAUGGGCCCUGAAAGUGUUCUAAGUCCUGGAUCUGAUGCCUUCUGAGCUUGUUGAGGAGCCAGGUCCUGACUUCUCUCAUAGAUGUGCAAACGAGCACAGCCUCAGAGUUGUUCCCUUAGGACUGAAGCAAAGGGCUCAGGGAAACUCAUCUCCAGGUCUAUGGGCCAGGACUCCAACACCAGCGAUUUACAGGAGGCAGCGGCUGUUGGUGGACCAGCAGGCCUGUGAGAAGGUCGGGGAAGCUAUCAUGAUGACGCCAGACUAGAUGCGGAGGCGAAGUCUUGCUCUUACUCACCCAUGGCUUCCUGACUCAUCCCCAGACAGGCCCUCCCAGCCACUGGAGUAGGAAGAGGCAAUGGACUUGAGAUUCACAGAUGACCUCAGGGAGAAGGAAGCAGAAAAGGUUGCUCAGGUCAUUUUAUUCUAGGACACUAGACUUUUGUUCUAGAGGCUUCUACUUGUUUCACUUUAACUCUACCAAGAAUUUUGUGAUUUGAGUCCCAAAGAGGUCCCUAUAAAAUAUAGUAUUCACACAAAUCGCACCUUGCACCAAUGGAUCUCCCUCCCUGGCCUUGUCCUCUGGUAGUGGUGCUGUGGCAGAACACUCCUGGGAGCCAGAUUCCCAGAGCCUCUGGUGAACUUCCAGUGGAACAAGGCAGUGUAUGCACAGAGGACCUGAUGCGGGCAGUGUGAAGGUAUAAGCAGCAUGAGGAGAAGCCUCCAGCACACCAUUUUCAAGCCAUUAUUCACAGAUUUCUCAGCCACUCCUUCCUCAGGAAGCACCCAGGAAAAGGGCAGGGAGGCUGUGCAUUCCAGGCUCUAGGAAAUGAUCUUUACUUCCACCAAAGCAUCUCUCGGUAAUAACUUUAUACAUUGGAUGCCUAAGUAAGAUUUUAUUUGAAGGAAGGAUUCUGUAGCAUAAAGCAAACCAGAAAAAAUCUCAGAAACACCAUUUUAGAGCUUGCAGCUUCAGUGGCAAACUACGUGAAUCAGGCAUUUUAAUUUUCUGCAUUCUGAUGCUGGGACAUCUGGGGCCUUAUUGAACCUGGAUGAACUGACUACUUGCUCAGAAAAGGUGAAUCAAUUCCAGAGAUGGUAGAAAAAUCAGCUGGGGGCAUUGUUUUUUAUAUGCAAACCAAACCUCUCAGUACCCUAACCACUUCUUUAUAAGGCUGUCACAUUUCAGGCUGCCUUUCAUCUACCCUGACCAUCCCCAAACCACGUACCAGACAACAGGGGACAGCUCCUACAUCCCACUGCCUGCAAAAUUGUUUGAACUGACCAAUCCUAAGCCUGAGUGUCCUGCCUUGCCUCUUCCUCCAAUGAAAACCAUGAGGAAUGUUCUUGCCUACAUUUCCUGUCUUCUGCCACUUCCUCUGCGACUCCCACUAAACUUGGGCUUCCUUAUGUGCCCUGCACAGAGUUUUCCUUUCUAGGGAACUUUGAUAUAAACUUCCUAUCCUUGC
This is a long non-coding RNA of Fukomys damarensis (Damara mole-rat), 1550 nucleotides long. The record is from Ensembl. Lineage: Eukaryota; Metazoa; Chordata; Mammalia; Rodentia; Bathyergidae.